CAUAGCCACUCGCCAGUGCCACAUAUUAAGAGAAUUUAUAAACAGAAAAAAACGACUGUAGAAUUAAGAAUCUCAUUAUCAAUAUAACAAAAUGUACUCUGGAAUGUUGAUGGGAAAAGCUGUAGAAUAAACCAACCCCCUCAUCAGCACAAACGUAUUUAGAUCUAUCUAGUGAUAAGUAUGCUCAUUUCAGUAUAGGUGAUCUGUAUUAUAAAAUGGACUACAGAGCAACAUUUGUCAAAACAGUUUUGAGUUGUGAUGGCUCAGAACUUGAUGAUUAUAUUAAUUUUGUUUCACUGGUGACAUUAAUAAAUCUCUGACCAUAAAUUAUUUUAGAGCGUGUUACACAACCAACAAGGUAGAAGUCUCUACAUUACUGUAUAGGUUUUCAAAGUAAAUCCCACCAACAUCACAUAUUUUAGAUCUCUUAACUUCAAGAGAGGUAAUGAGGGGUUUUGCAAUUUCCUAAACAAACCACGUGUCAUAAAAUAAAAUAUUGUGUAUGUAGGUACUAAAAAGGCACAGUAUAUGAUUGGUAGGAUUUUGAUUUAAAAAAAAAAAAAAAAAACCCUGUACUUAAAAAGGUUUAAAUGUCAUCAAAAUUAUUUGGUUAUAUCAUGUAGUUAAAUGUCAGAAUAGCAAUGAUUGUGCAGAUAGACUUGAGCAAUUUUUGAAUGCACACAGAUAAUGCCU
Pelobates cultripes (western spadefoot toad) is the source of this 693-nucleotide non-coding RNA. NCBI's taxonomy places the organism in Eukaryota, Metazoa, Chordata, Amphibia, Anura, Pelobatidae. The record is from the annotation of a GenBank genome assembly.